Molecule: long non-coding RNA, 370 nt
Organism: Rhinolophus ferrumequinum (greater horseshoe bat)
Lineage: Eukaryota; Metazoa; Chordata; Mammalia; Chiroptera; Rhinolophidae
Exons: 3
Source: RefSeq, a predicted model, not a curated record
CCCUGCACAGCAGACAGGCAAGACGAAGAGGCUGACUACUGAAUUCACCUAAAGUGCAGCUUUUAGAGCCCAAUAAGAGAGAAGAAACACAAGAAAACUCUUUCUCCACAUCACAGUUUGGUUUGAAGAUGCAAGCCUUAGAUGUGACAGAAGAGAAAUGCCCCAAAGAGCAGUCUGUUCAAAUGGCCCCCCAGUCUCCCGAAUGAAAUCGAAGAGGAGGGCAAAGGAGGCGUGGAGGCAUAUGGUGGUACCUACUCUUCUAAAAGCACUCGGGCUGGCCCGGUGGCUCAGGCGGUUGGAGCUCCAUGCUCCUAACUCCGAAGGUUGCCGGUUCGAUUCCCACAUGGGCCAGUGGGCUCUCAACCACAAG